Molecule: long non-coding RNA, 2060 nt
Filed under: Homo sapiens (human)
Lineage: Eukaryota; Metazoa; Chordata; Mammalia; Primates; Hominidae
Description: HSALNT0138879
Source: RNAcentral
GAUAUGGCGAUAAGGCACCACGUUGGAAGCAGACAGACUGGGCCUUCACCAGACACUGAACCUGCCUGUGCCUUGAUACUGGACUUCCAGGCUCCAGCACUGAGACCAUAAUCAUAACCCAGAAUCAAAUGGCACUGAAAGGUGACUCAAGAAGUUUGUAGAAGAACUCUGAUCAAGAAUUUUAACUCAGUUCAGGGGUCAAUAAUUUUUAAUGAGAUAACUGAAAGGAACAGUUUUGGGGGUUUGGAGAAAGGUAAAAUCAUAAUCACCAGGAAUUCAUUGCAGAACUCCACGUAAUUACUGUGAAGAGACUGAAGUUUUCAGGCCCCACUUGAAUUACCAGGGUCCCUUUAGAGUGAAAAAUGUAUGAAUCUCUUCCCUGGAGUUGUAGAGGACUUGGAUAUACAUUCUAGAAUAUGAAGAUUGAUUGAAAUUCUUAGAAGCAGAAAGUGGAAGAGAGAGACAAAGUGAGAAGAAAAAUAGCUGCAUGUUUCUAUUUUAUGCAGGGCCAGGCUUGGGCUAUUAUGAAUGUUGCUGAACACUGUUAAUCAAGCUUACACAGCUAUUUUGAUGGCAAACAAUUAGAACUCUGCAGCUCUACCUUGCAAUUAGCUUCAGGGAUACGGACCUGCACACCCUAAUAAUGAAAGAGACCUCCUUCAAGCACGGAACAGGUUACCUACCCCUACAGCAAAUACUCCCUUGGAUUAUUCACUCUGGAGAAAAUCAGCUUCCACAUCAUGAGUGCUGUGAAGAGGCUCACAUGAGUGAACUUGGAAGAAGAUCCCCUGAGGCCUGGCAACAACCAAAUAAGCUUGGAAGUGUGCUCUUCAGCCCUGCUUGAGCCUUGACAGGAUAGCUGCAUGGACCAACUCACAAUUUGACCACAGCCUUAUGGGACAAAUGGAGCCAAUGACACCCAGCUAAGCCAUACCUAGAUUCCUGAUGCACAGAAACUGUAAAAUGAUAAGUGUUUGCUGUUUUAAGCUGCUAAUUUUGGGUAAAAUUUGUUAUAUGCAAUAGAUGACUAGUAGAAGGAUUAAAUGAGAUAAUUCACGUAAAGAACUUAGCAUGCACCCAAACAAUGGUAACUGUUAAUUGAACUGCUAAUAGUAUGGACCACACUUGCCUUUCCCUUUUCUCAAUUUUCAUAAAUAGAUUAAUCUAUAAUAAUCCUACAGCUAUAAUUUGAUACUUUAUGUUACUAAAGAAACUAGUAUAUACAUAUAUUUACAUAUACAUAUGUGCUUAUAUGUGUAUAUAUGGUUGCAUAUAUAUCUAUAUUUUUAUGUGCAUCAUAUAUGUAUGUGUGUAUGUGGUGUGUGUGUGUGUAUGUGUGUAAGUCUUUGAGUUCAAGGCUCUUUGGCUUUAUCUUAAGCACUGUGUUAGCUUAUACAAAAUGUGAAUUUAUUGUAUGAUGAAUAAAUUGAUGCUAGAUAGAAUGACACACUUUGAUCCAUUAGGCUUGCUUUAAGAAAAUUCUGCAAGCUGCAGAGCUGGUAUUUCUGGAAUCCAUUUGGGGUGACUGCGAAUUGGGUCAAAGGGAAUUAAACAGAUGGAAUUAUCUGGUUUCAUUUGAGUCAGCUGAGAAAAUAGAAAGGCCAGCCUCAAUUUCCAUAGUCAGCAGUAUAUAAUCUUUAAUUUUGGACAAAAAGAGAUAAUUAAAACCAAUUUAUAUUAUCAAAAAUGUUUUCAAAUACUAGUAAAUGGUGAGCCACAUACACUAAUCUUGAAAGCUUAGUUAUUGGGUAGGAAGGAUUUUGAAUUGCUUUGUGUAUGCUUUAAUUGUUGUCAAAAGGCUAGACUAUUGUCUAUGUUCCUUUUUUCAUCACAUCCAUUAGUUUAAAUAUUACAUGGUUGCACAAAUUAAAAUGCUACAGACAUUCAGUUAGAAACCUGGAGGCAAGUUUCUGACCUAAAAAGCACACAGAUUUGGUAGACUGACAGAUCUGGGCUCCAAUCCAGGUUUGGUCACUUACUAAAUUUGUGUCUUUGAGUAAAUGAUGUAAAUUUUCUUAACCUUGGUUUCUCAUUGUCUAAAAUGGAGAUAAUGAUAUUUG